Molecule: ribosomal RNA, 837 nt
Filed under: uncultured archaeon
Lineage: Archaea
Description: bacterial SSU rRNA
Rfam family: Archaeal small subunit ribosomal RNA
Source: RNAcentral
ACUGCUCAGUAACACGUGGACAACCUACCCUUGGGUUCGGCAUAAUCCUGGGAAACUGGGGAUAAUACCGGAUAGGUCACAGAUGCUGGAAUGCACUGUGGCUCAAAGCUCCGGCGCCCAAGGAUGGGUCUGCGGCCUAUCAGGGUUGUAGUGGGUGUAAUGUACCUACUAGCCUACGACGGGUACGGGUUGUGAGAGCAAGAGCCCGGAGAUGGAUUCUGAGACACGAAUCCAGGCCCUACGGGGUGCAGCAGGCGCGAAAACUUUACAAUGCGGGAAACCGUGAUAAGGGAAUCUCGAGUGCCAGCAUAUAAUGUUGGCUGUCCAGAUGCCUAAAAAGCAUCUGUUAGCAAGGGCCGGGCAAGACCGGUGCCAGCCGCCGCGGUAACACCGGCGGCCCGAGUGGUAACCGCUAUUAUUGGGUCUAAAGGGUCUGUAGCCGGCCAGGUAAGUCCCUUGGGAAAUCUGGCAGCUCAACUGUCAGGCUGCUAGGGGAUACUGUUUGGCUUGGGACCGGGAGAGGUGAGAGGUACCUUGGGGGUAGGGGUGAAAUCUUGUGAUCCUCGGGGGACCACCAGUGGCGAAGGCGUCUCACCAGAACGGGUCCGACGGUAAGGGACGAAAGCUAGGGGCACGAACCGGAUUAGAUACCCGGGUAGUCCUAGCCGUAAACGAUGCUCGCUAGGUGUCAGUCACGGUGCGACCGUGAUUGGUGCCGUAGGGAAGCCGUGAAGCGAGCCACCUGGGAAGUAUGGCCGCAAGGCUGAAACUUAAAGGAAUUGGCGGGGGAGCACUACAACGGGUGGAGCCUGCGGUUUAAUUGGAUUCAACGCCGGG